CCUACGGGAGGCAGCAGUCGAGAAUUGUUCACAAUGGGGGAAACCCUGAUGGUGCGACGCCGCGUGGGGGAAUGAAGGUCUUCGGAUUGUAAACCCCUGUCAUGUGGGAGCAAAUUAAAAAGAUAGUACCACAAGAGGAAGAGACGGCUAACUCUGUGCCAGCAGCCGCGGUAAUACAGAGGUCUCAAGCGUUGUUCGGAAUCACUGGGCGUAAAGCGUGCGUAGGCUGUUUCGUAAGUCGUGUGUGAAAGGCGCGGGCUCAACCCGCGGACGGCACAUGAUACUGCGAGACUAGAGUAAGGGAGGGGGAACCGGAAUUCUCGGUGUAGCAGUGAAAUGCGUAGAUAUCGAGAGGAACACUCGUGGCGAAGGCGGGUUCCUGGACAUUAACUGACGCUGAGGCACGAAGGCCAGGGGAGCGAAAGGGAUUAGAUACCCCUGUAGUC
RNAcentral lists this ribosomal RNA (446 nucleotides) under uncultured bacterium. RNAcentral's name for it is "partial 16S ribosomal RNA". It matches the Rfam family "Bacterial small subunit ribosomal RNA", at positions 338 to 795 of the family's 1533-position model. The record is from RNAcentral.